Molecule: long non-coding RNA, 1831 nt
Filed under: Anas platyrhynchos platyrhynchos (common mallard)
Lineage: Eukaryota; Metazoa; Chordata; Aves; Anseriformes; Anatidae
Description: lncRNA (ENSAPLG00000016654.1)
Source: RNAcentral
AUGCCAGAUGAUUAUCGGAGGCCUUCCCACCGAACCCACAGCUUCAGGGGGACGCAGGGAGGCUGGCAAGAUAGGGAAAUCCUGUGGCCAAAAGCUUUUGGAGCGAGCAGUUUCUCCUCCCACUUGCAGAGACCACACUUAGAUUUUUGUGGUGUCAUAAAUAUGCUCUUUAGUGUGCGCACUAAUAGGUCUCUGGAACACAUCUGGGUUUGGUGGCUCCGGACCCCGAGGCGUGUGCAUGAAGGCGAGGAUCAUACAACAGGACUAGGUGCCUGGCUGCCAAAUGAAUGAAAUCUAAGGAAUCCACAGGCAUUUACAGCAAAGCUGAGAUUUUCCUAAUGGACACCUAAAAGUUAUGCUCGUGAAACUCCUAAAUCUUGUCUCAAUAGAGACGGGGCACCUAGCUCCUUUUGCAAAUCCUCCUCGCAAGACUGCGUUCAAGUCCCUGGGUAAGUAUCCUGAUUUUCGAACAUGUUGGCUGCAACCGCGUGUGCUAUGAGAAGCUGCUGAACAUAGCACAUGUGAAAAUUGAAUUAUUUAUUUGUAAGUCUAAAUAUGAUCCUAUUAGCCUAAUUUAAAAUGCUUUUUAAAACCUAGAACCAGCACUUGUACCCAACGAAGUUACACAGAACAAAGUGUUUUCCAAACUUCUUACUAAUAUUAUGAAGCUACUAACACACUAAUGUAACAGAACCACACUGAGAAACUGGUAUAAGGUAUACUGACCUGGUAGCUCAAGUUCCACUCUCAUUCCCCCACAGAAAUUGUAGUUGUGAUACACAGGAGUAGGAAGUCAAAUAAUUUGAGUGUUCUUUUUUUUUUUUUUUUUCCUUUUUUUUUUUUUUUUUUCCUGGGAAGAUAUUGUACAUUUGAGGCAUCUACCUGCACUGUCUCUCUGGGGUUACACCUAUAAAAUGUAUUUCAUUGUUUUUUUGAGAACUUGCUAGUGACUUUGAGAUAUCCUGGAAACCAACAUAUAAGUGAUGAUAUGGCAAGAGGCAUAUAUACAAGAGGAGUACUCAAGAUUUUUCAAACUGCAGCUUAGGAAAAGGUUGUGUGUAUUAGUGUGGAGUCCUAACCUUGUCUACAAGAUUCCAUGGCUCAUUUCCUGUAGCAGCACAGCCUCUUCCCUUCUAUCUUCUUCACGGGGAGGUCAAUUAUUUUUCUUCUGUGAAUGAAAUAUUUGCCCCUGAAAAGUAGUCCCAGGUCAAAUUAGUCAUAUAGUUGCAGCUGGAAACUAUUUUUGGCCUAGGUUUACAACACUGAGGAGGAUAUCCAGAUCCUUUACCAAAUAUUUAAGGCACUCAGCCAAGAUGUGGGAGAUGCAGGUUCAGAUCUCUCUGGGGAAAGGGAUUUGAAUCCUGCCUCUGGGAGAUAACCAUCAUCAGCAUCUUGCUGUGUAGGGAAUGGUGGGAUAAGAGAGAAAGUAUGAAUCAGUGAAGCAGCCUGAGGUUUGAGCAGCUUCUUGUCUCAUGGAGCUGUGGGUCCUUCCUCAGCUCCCAAGCUCCAGGGACCUGGACGGGGCACUGAGCUGGGCAAGAGGCUUGGUUUGACCUGUGGCUUGUCAGUUCUGGCAAAUUAAAACAGACCAUUUAUACAUUCAGCCAUCACCUGUUUCGGAGGCAAGAUUGGGCUAACCAUCCUCUGUCCCACUCCCAGAGAAACCAGUCUUUCAUUUUUGUUUUUUUUUUUUCCUACUCAUGCUCCUUAAACUGAAGCUCUGAGACUUACCUGCCUCUGAGCCAGGAUCCUCACUCAUCCUGGCAGGGAUUGGGCUGUGGCCUCUGGGACACCAAAUAAAAGCAAGAGAGGGGUAAUAUUUAUUGGCUUU